This 253-nucleotide ribosomal RNA is filed under the name uncultured bacterium. Its description in RNAcentral is "partial 16S ribosomal RNA". It matches the Rfam family "Bacterial small subunit ribosomal RNA", at positions 524 to 776 of the family's 1533-position model. The record is from RNAcentral.
UACAGAGGGGGCAAGCGUUGUUCGGAAUUACUGGGCGUAAAGGGCGCGUAGGCGGCCUUCUAAGUCGAACGUGAAAUCCCCGGGCUCAACCCGGGAACUGCGUCCGAUACUGGAAGGCUUGAAUCCGGGAGAGGGAUGCGGAAUUCCAGGUGUAGCGGUGAAAUGCGUAGAUAUCUGGAGGAACACCGGUGGCGAAGGCGGUUCUCUGGGCCUGCACUGACGCUGAGGAACGAAAGCGUGGGGAGCGAACAGG